GUGCCAGCAGCCGCGGUAAUACGGAGGGUGCAAGCGUUGUUCGGAUUUACUGGGCGUAAAGGGCGCGUAGGCGGCUUUAUAAGCCAGAUGUGAAAGCCCACGGCUUAACCGUGGAAGUGCAUCUGGAACUGUGAGGCUUGAGUAUGGGAGAGGAAAGUGGAAUUCCCGGUGUAGAGGUGAAAUUCGUAGAUAUCGGGAGGAAUACCGGUGGCGAAGGCGACUUUCUGGACCAAUACUGACGCUGAGGCGCGAAAGCGUGGGUAGCAAACAGGAUUAGAAACCCCAGUAGUCC
This 292-nucleotide ribosomal RNA is filed under the name uncultured bacterium. RNAcentral's name for it is "partial 16S ribosomal RNA". It matches the Rfam family "Bacterial small subunit ribosomal RNA", at positions 505 to 796 of the family's 1533-position model. The record is from RNAcentral.